Non-coding RNA from Cyanistes caeruleus (blue tit), 3020 nucleotides. NCBI's taxonomy places the organism in Eukaryota, Metazoa, Chordata, Aves, Passeriformes, Paridae. The record is from RefSeq and is a predicted model, not a curated record.
AAACUGCUCCACAUGAGUACCUGAGCCAAGACUAAAGGCAAACGUCGCUCACAACACUCAUCAGCAUGUUUGUACAACAGCAGUACAGACAGAACGAGUCUACAGGACACAGCUGCUGCACUUCCUCCCAGGUCAGUCACAGUUCCCCCUGCUCUGAGAACAUCCUGCUUGGCACUACAGAGCAGGAACACUGCAAACCAAAGACAGCUGCAAUGAUGUGCCACAAAUAAAUAUUCUGAUGUUCACCACUCCUGGUCUUUAGGAGGUUUUUAGUUUAACUCAGCUCUGACACCACACAUUCCUACAGAAUCCAGAGCACAACCUGCCAAUAACUGUAGAGGCCAUGCUUACAAGGUUUGUUUCUGACAGCAUGAGUAGCAAAAUCUAUCUACAUUUAAGAAUGCAGAAAGAAACCUUAAAUCUUAAGAAAAUUAAAGUCAAAAUAUCACAGCUCAGGUUUUCAUCCUACAAGGCAAUAAGCACAUAUUUGAGUCAGUUAUGUGCUUGGACUCAUGAAAAAAUCUGCUGAGCUUAUUUGCUUAAGUAAGAGCUAUGGAAUUUUAUCUCUAAAUGCUUAAAUUUCAUUUUUAAAAGCGUCAGUGUCUACUAAUAAGACGAAGUGUAUGCUUUUUACUUGAGUUUGAGGAUAGAUAAACUGAUUAAAAGCUUUGAACACAUUCUUCCAUAAAUAAAAAUAUACAUCAGAAGGUAUAGUCUUUGCUAAAGGUUUUCAAAUUUUUAAUGACUUUAUGUAUUGUAGUAUUCUGAUUUAAAGUUCUGGCUCUAAAAAAAACCACAGAAAUGGCACUUUAAAAAACAGAUUAGUUUUGAAUUGUCCUUCACUGUCACACAUUUUUCUAGAGGCUAUACAACAGAAGUAUGUAGCUUUGGUGAUAAAAAUAUGUCUCCCCUAAAGGAACAGUGAUGAAAAUUUUAUAUUUUACAGUACAGUGCUAAAUGCUUACAAAAGCUACACUGGUUAUCUCCCAGAAAAAAAAGAGAUGCAAAAAAGUCAAAGCUGUAAAUUAAGUGAGAAACAUCCGCCAUGAAAACAUUAAAUGGAAAAUAAACAUUAAGAAUUCAGUCCACUUUACAACAAUUUUCUAGUAGCUUAGUGACUUACAACAGCAGCAUAAUUCUGUACAGACUCUACAACCACUCCCAAAAACAUUUUCAUAGCUCAGAAUAUUAAAGGUAAGUAAAAAGCUGGUUUUAUCGAAGUAUAAAUCCAACAAAGGUCUAAACACACUCAACUCUGUAUUGAAAUAAACUUGAUUCAAAAUGAAAAUUUCUCAAAUGUUUAGAUUUAUUAAUGGCUACAUAAUGGACUUUAUUCUGUGCCGUCAGACGUAUCAGAUUUAUCAGAUUUCAAAAAAACACCAAGUGAGUUCAUCACUUGUUACUGGAAACACAUGGAAAAUGAGAUGUAACAAACACUGACAUAUGGAAUGCUUCUGAGGUUAAAUGUCAAUACAUUUUAUUUUACUAAUCACUGACUUUAAAGUUAGCCCAAUUAGGUUAUAGAUGAAAAAUUCACUUAGACAUACCAGCAGUCUCUAUGCUUUCUCCAACGUAUUACUAAUGUACUGCUUAGGGUUUUGUCAUUAUUCAUCUAUUUGUUUUGAAACAUAGCAAAUUAAUAUUAAGUCAUUUGCUACAUUACUUAGCUCACUCAAAAUCAAAAUUAGGGCAGAACUCUGAAUGUCAGAAAUAAUAUUAACUUAAAUUCCAGUUACUGCAGGUUUCUUGGAAAUAAACCAUACAAAGAAACCUCCCACCAAAACCCCCCAAACCAAUUCUCUUUCAAUGGGAUGCUGAAAUGUGACCCACUGCAACCAACUUUUAAAUCACAACUAAAAGGAUUAGCUUAGGACAAUAUUAAUUCUCUCAGUUCCAAGGUCCAUUUGGUAAUUCCAGUGAAGAUAUGAGUUUUUACUUAUCAGACACAUGGAGACUUUCUAUGAAGCAUUAGCUACAUGUGUCAUUGGAGCACGAUGAGACUGUGAGGAACACGUUUGAUGACAUCAAGCAGAAAAGAUUACAGACUUCAAGAGUAAUUUCAAGGCAUGAAGCUAUCACUAAAAGAUUUUCAUUAAAUCCCUCCCUGUCAAAGAAAGAUUCUGCUGUACCAAAAGUUAGUGGCAUUUAGUAUUUUAAGUUCUUACCCUGUUUCCUCAUUUUGUUUCUGAUAGCUUAUUAAAAAAAAAAAUUAUUAGAGUCACAUAAAUAGUUCUUAUUUUGAAUGCAUCCUGAGGUCUAAACCUUUAAAAUUUGUGCCUUGAUCUCCUCCCACAUAGUCUAGCUAAUCUAAAAUUUGAAGAAUAAAGUGGAAUUUUAAUGUAAUUAAAGGUAGUAAGAGACAUUAUAAUGUACUUGCCAAAAGCUGUUUUAUAAAUACAGCCCACUCAUAAUAAAGGAUAUUUCAGUAAUAUUUACAUCUUUUUAUAUAUGCAAUUAACUGUAUAUAUAUAUAGGGUUAUCCUAUGUUUCUGCUGAAAGGAUAACUGUGAACAGUGGCAGAACUACAGAUUCACCUAACAGAAGCUUCUUGUCCAACAAACAAUCAUUGUAUUUCACCUGAAAAACAAUCUCAGACAGUUUCUUAGAAUGGGAUGAAUUCUUUUUCUAAUCCUAUUACCAUCCAUUGACUAUAUGGCAAAUCUAAUUGGGAUUAGACUCCUAAUCUGCCAAACAGCUGAAUUUGUCCAGUCCAUGAUCACUGCACAAUCUGAACACACACCCCUGAUGACAGUUUAAAUCUAUUAAAUGGCACACAGUGCAUUUAAAUUCAAAACAGGAGUAAGACUUCCCCUCCCUUCCCCAGUAAAGGUAAACCAUCUCUGAGAAAAGGGAGUGUUGAGGGAGAUGUGAAAAACUUCUGUCAGCUGAGAUCCCAGACUCAGGACUAUACCUAUUCCUACCUCCAACUUGAAAAUCAGGCAGGAAUAUACACAAGAUACCGGAACCCACUUUAUGAAGAGUGCUAACAAUCAACAACAGAACUCCAGCUAAAAAAAAAA